UACGUGGGGAGCAAGCGUUGUUCGGAUUUACUGGGCGUAAAGGGCGCGUAGGCGGCCACCGCAAGUCGACUGUGAAAUCUCCGGGCUUAACCCGGAAAGGUCAGCCGAUACUGCGGGGCUAGAGUGCAGAAGGGGCAACUGGAAUUCUCGGUGUAGCAGUGAAAUGCGUAGAUAUCGAGAGGAACACCAGUGGCGAAGGCGAGUCCCUGGACAACUCCUGACACUGAGGCGCGAAAGCUAGGGGAGCAAACAGG
Molecule: ribosomal RNA, 254 nt
Filed under: uncultured bacterium
Lineage: Bacteria
Description: partial 16S ribosomal RNA
Rfam family: Bacterial small subunit ribosomal RNA
Source: RNAcentral